Molecule: ribosomal RNA, 1231 nt
Filed under: Ganaspini sp. ZJUH 20220007
Lineage: Eukaryota; Metazoa; Arthropoda; Insecta; Hymenoptera; Figitidae
Description: 16S ribosomal RNA
Source: RNAcentral
AACUCUAAUUAAAAUAAAUUUUAAAUUAAUUUACUUAAUUAACUUAAUAUUUAUAACUUUAAACCUUUUAUUAACCUUUAUUUCAAUAAACCUUUUUCUGUUUUAUAUCUACUUUGAAAUUAGUAUAAUCCCAACUUUUUUACUAAUUAUUGGGUGAGGAAAUCAAUUUGAACGAAUUGAAGCAAGACUAUACAUAUUUAUAUACACAAUCUUUGCUUCUUUAUCAAUAAUAAUUAUUUUAAUUUUAAUAUACAAUAAUUAAAAUUUUUUAAUUAUAAAUCUUAAAGUUGACCCCUUAAAAUUUUUAAGAAAAUUAAAUUUAAAAAUAUAAUUUAAAAUUUUAAUUUUUUAUAAAAAUGUAAUAAUUUAUAAAAAUUUAAUUAAAAAAUUUGAGUAAUAAUUUUAUGUUAAGUAUUAUUAAAAUUUAUAAAUUAAUUUAAAUUUUAUAGUAAUAAUGAUUAAAUUAGUAAAUAUAUAAAAUUAAAAUAAAUUAUAUUGUAAUAAAUAUUAAAAUUUAAAGUAAUGAAUUAAGCAAAUUAAUUUAUUUACCUGUUUAAUAAAAACAUGUCUUUAAAAAUAUUUAUUUAAAGUCAAAUCUACUCAAUGAAUUAAUUAAAUAGUUGCAAUAUUUUGAUUGUACAAAGGUAGCAUAAUAAAUUGUCUUUUAAUUAAAGAAUUGUAUGAAUGAUUUAAUAAAAUAAUAACUUUAUUAUUUUAAAAGAAAUUAAAUUUUAUUAUUAAGUAAAAAAUCUUAAAUAAAUUUAUUAGACGAGAAGACCCUAUAAAAUUUUAUAGAGUAAUUAUGUUAAAUUUUAAAAUUAAAAAUUUAAUAUAUUUAAUUUUAUUUUUUUGGGGGUAUAAAAAAAUUAGUAUAAUUUUUUUAUUAAUAAAUAUAUUAAUAAAUAAAAUUAAUAAAAGAGUGAUUAUAAUAAAUAUUAAUAGAUUAAAUUACUUUAGGGAUAACAGCAUAAUAUUUUUAGAGAGAUCUUAUUGAUAAAAAAGUUUAUGACCUCGAUGUUGAAUUAAGAUAAAUAUUUAAUGAAGAAAUUUAAUUAUUAAGUUUGUUCAACUUUUAAAAUCUUACAUGAUUUGAGUUAAAAUCGGUGUGAGCCAGAUUGGCUUCUAUCUAUAAAUAAUUUUUAAGUAAUUGUACGAAAGGACUUUAACUUUUAAUAAAUAGUAAAAAAUUAAUUUUGAUGGAAUAAAAUUAAUGGUCUUAUGAAAAUUUAAU